GUUUUAACCCACAGGAAGCCAAUCCAAAACUUUUUGUUUUGGGAUUGACAAGAACUGCACCUUCUUUGCAGAGUCAUGAGAAAGUGUUGUUUAGAUCAGUGACAAUGAUCCUUUUGAAUACGUUUCCACUACCAGAAGCUCUAGUAUUGGUAUGGAGGAAUGAGUCUUCUCCCAAAUAGCUCCAGACCAUGUGGAAAAAGAACAUCCUGAACACUACCCUUCUUCAAAAAAUGUUAUUAAUAAAUGAAGCAUUUUUCCAAGAUAUGAUCUAUAAAGAUAUAUAGAACUGAGAAUACUAUGGAUAGCUAAGAAAACAAACAGAUCAACACAGAGUUUUCACUUGAGGCACAAAUGACCAGGCCCAAUUUUUCAUAUUUUGGACUCAUUAGCUAGAUUAGGCUCUAGCUCUUUGGAAAAAGUCUACAAUGCAGAGAAAGGUGGAAGGAAACAGAAGAAGAGGAUAACCAGCAGCAAGCUGGAUAGAAAAAAAGAGAGCACUAAGAAUGUAUAUGUCUAUACAUCUGUGUUUCUCCAAUGUUUUCUUCAGCUUCUAGCAUGCUACUAAUGUGUGAAUACACUCAUAUUAU
Long non-coding RNA from Pantherophis guttatus, 587 nucleotides. RefSeq lists it as uncharacterized. The record is from RefSeq and is a predicted model, not a curated record. Lineage: Eukaryota; Metazoa; Chordata; Lepidosauria; Squamata; Colubridae.